This 254-nucleotide ribosomal RNA is filed under the name uncultured bacterium. Its description in RNAcentral is "partial 16S ribosomal RNA". It matches the Rfam family "Bacterial small subunit ribosomal RNA", at positions 524 to 776 of the family's 1533-position model. The record is from RNAcentral.
UACGUAGGGGGCGAGCGUUGUCCGGAUUCAUUGGGCGUAAAGAGCUCGUAGGCGGCUUGGCAAGCCGGGUGUGAAAACUCCAGGCUCAACCUGGAGACGCCACCCGGGACUGCUAUGGCUAGAGUCCGGUAGGGGAUCACGGAAUUCCUGGUGUAGCGGUGAAAUGCGCAGAUAUCAGGAGGAACACCGGUGGCGAAGGCGGUGAUCUGGGCCGGCACUGACGCUGAUGAGCGAAAGCCAGGGGAGCAAACGGG